Molecule: transfer RNA, 75 nt
Filed under: Hyphomicrobium sp.
Lineage: Bacteria; Pseudomonadati; Pseudomonadota; Alphaproteobacteria; Hyphomicrobiales; Hyphomicrobiaceae
Also listed under: 427 other names
Description: tRNA-Gly
Rfam family: tRNA
About the family: Transfer RNA (tRNA) molecules are approximately 80 nucleotides in length. Their secondary structure includes four short double-helical elements and three loops (D, anti-codon, and T loops).
Source: RNAcentral
GCGGGCGUAGUUCAGUGGUAGAACGUCAGCUUCCCAAGCUGAAUGUCGUCGGUUCGAUCCCGAUCGCCCGCUCCA